RNAcentral lists this ribosomal RNA (286 nucleotides) under uncultured Methylomirabilota bacterium. RNAcentral's name for it is "uncultured candidate division NC10 bacterium partial 16S ribosomal RNA". It matches the Rfam family "Bacterial small subunit ribosomal RNA", at positions 1060 to 1345 of the family's 1533-position model. The record is from RNAcentral. Lineage: Bacteria; Methylomirabilota (SeqCode).
UCGUGUCGUGAGAUGUUGGGUUAAGUCCCGCAACGAGCGCAACCCUCACCUCUUGUUGCCACCAGGUCAUGCUGGGCACUCUAGAGGAACUGCCCCGGUCAACGGGGAGGAAGGCGGGGAUGACGUCAAGUCAUCAUGCCCCUUACGCCCUGGGCUACACACGUGCUACAAUGGCCGGUACAAAGGGAUGCAAGACCGCGAGGUGGAGCUAAACCCAAAAAGCCGGUCUAAGUUCAGAUUGGAGUCUGCAACUCGACUCCAUGAAGGAGGAAUCGCUAGUAAUCGC